GCCUCAGUAGCUCAGUCGGUAAGCCUUUCUCUUUUGUAAAAGAGAAACCCUUGGGAAAGAGAAAAAUCUUUGGCUUGAUAUAGAGCGUUGCCUUGGUAAGGCAAAGGUCGAGGGUUCAAAAAGGCCUUUCUUCAAAAGAAAGCCCUUGGGGAAAGAAUCCCUUUGAGAAUCCCCCCUGAGGCUCCA
Molecule: transfer RNA, 186 nt
Filed under: archaeon
Lineage: Archaea
Description: tRNA-Thr
Source: RNAcentral